UAGAGCGAAUCACAAAAACCCGGUCUCAGUUCAGAUUGCAGGCCGCAACUCGCCUGCAUGAAGUUGGAAUUGCUAGUAAUCGCGAAUCAGAAUGUCGCGGUGAAUACGUUCCCGGGCCUUGUACACACCGCCCGUCACACCAUGAGAGUCGAUAACACCCGAAGCCUGUGAGCUAACCGCAAGAAGGCAGCAGUCGAAGGUGGGGUUGAUGAUUGGGGUGAAGUCGUAACAAGGUAUC
RNAcentral lists this ribosomal RNA (238 nucleotides) under uncultured bacterium. RNAcentral's name for it is "partial 16S ribosomal RNA". It matches the Rfam family "Bacterial small subunit ribosomal RNA", at positions 1263 to 1500 of the family's 1533-position model. The record is from RNAcentral.